CCUACGGGAGGCAGCAGUGGGGAAUAUUGCACAAUGGGGGAAACCCUGAUGCAGCGACGCCGCGUGAAGGAAGAAGUAUUUCGGUAUGUAAACUUCUAUCAGCAGGGAAGAAAAUGACGGUACCUGACUAAGAAGCCCCGGCUAACUACGUGCCAGCAGCCGCGGUAAUACGUAGGGGGCAAGCGUUAUCCGGAUUUACUGGGUGUAAAGGGAGCGUAGACGGCAAGGCAAGUCUGGAGUGAAAGCCCGUGGCCCAACCACGGGACUGCUUUGGAAACUGUGUUGCUGGAGUGCAGGAGGGGUAAGCGGAAUUCCUAGUGUAGCGGUGAAAUGCGUGGAUAUUAGGAGGAACACCGGUGGCGAAGGCGGCUUACUGGACUGUAACUGACGUUGAGGCUCGAAGGCGUGGGGAGCAAACAGGAUUAGAUACCCUUGUAGUC
Molecule: ribosomal RNA, 440 nt
Filed under: uncultured bacterium
Lineage: Bacteria
Description: partial 16S ribosomal RNA
Rfam family: Bacterial small subunit ribosomal RNA
Source: RNAcentral